Molecule: ribosomal RNA, 622 nt
Filed under: uncultured bacterium
Lineage: Bacteria
Description: bacterial SSU rRNA
Rfam family: Bacterial small subunit ribosomal RNA
Source: RNAcentral
AGAAUUCUUAGUGGCGAACGGGUGAGUAACGCGUAGGCACCUGCCCUUUAGACGGGGACAACAUUCCGAAAGGAGUGCUAAUACCGGAUGUGGCCGCAUGGCGAAAGAUGGCCUUCAAGAAGCUAUCGCUAAAGGAUGGGCCUGCGUCUGAUUAGCUAGUUGGUAGUGUAACGGACUACCAAGGCGAUGAUCAGUAGCCGGUCUGAGAGGAUGAACGGCCACAUUGGGACUGAGACACGGCCCAAACUCCUACGGGAGGCAGCAGUGGGGAAUCUUCCGCAAUGGACGAAAGUCUGACGGAGCAACGCCGCGUGAGUGAUGAAGGAUUUCGGUCUGUAAAGCUCUGUUGUUUAUGACGAAGUGCAGUGUGUGAACAAUGCAUUGCAAUGACGGUAGUAAACGAGGAAGCCACGGCUAACUACGUGCCAGCAGCCGCGGUAAUACGUAGGUGGCGAGCGUUGUCCGGAAUUAUUGGGCGUAAAGAGCAUGUAGGCGGCUUAAUAAGUCGAGCGUGAAAAUGCGGGGCUCAACCCCGUAUGGCGCUGGAAACUGUUAGGCUUGAGUGCAGGAGAGGAAAGGGGAAUUCCCAGUGUAGCGGUGAAAUGCGUAGAUAUUGGGAGGA